AAAAUGUUAAUUACAUGUCAUGAUAUACAUAUAUAACACAAUGACUGCUAUCGAAAAGUUCAGAAGGUAAAGAACACACGCACGGUAGUUUAGUUUAUGUAUACUGAAAGCAACGAUGAAUCAAUGUAAUCAAAAAACGAUUUAUAGUCGUGCUCGGUAAACUGGUACAAUUACAAAGUUUGACCAAUAAGUAAUGAGACUAAUUCAAUAAAAUACGUAUAUUUAAAUAUUAAGAUACAUCGAUGUGAUCCCCUUCAAAGUACUCCCCUCCCACCCUUAAACACUGGUUCCAAUGUUUUUCCAGCUCUCAUAACAUUUCUGGAAGGCUUCGACUGGAAUGUCCUGAAGUACCCUCGUCACGGCGUUCUGGAUGUCAGUUAUGGACUCAAAAUGCGUUCCUUUCACGGCCAAUUUUGUUUGAGGGAACAAAAAGAAGUCACAGGGUGACAUAUCCGGCGAAUAGGGCGUUUGUGGCAACAUUGCGAUGUUCUUAGAGGUCAAAAAUCGCGACACACUUCGAGGUGUAAUUCAUCGACGUGCGUUUAAAUGGUAUUAUUA
Cinara cedri is the source of this 558-nucleotide non-coding RNA. The record is from the annotation of a GenBank genome assembly. Lineage: Eukaryota; Metazoa; Arthropoda; Insecta; Hemiptera; Aphididae.